Molecule: ribosomal RNA, 1087 nt
Filed under: Lulworthia cf. purpurea
Lineage: Eukaryota; Fungi; Ascomycota; Sordariomycetes; Lulworthiales; Lulworthiaceae
Description: SSU rRNA
Rfam family: Eukaryotic small subunit ribosomal RNA
Source: RNAcentral
GUAUAAGCAUUAUACCGCGAAACUGCGAAUGGCUCAUUAAAUCAGUUAUCGUUUAUUUGAUAGUUCCCUACUACUUGGAUAACCGUGGUAAUUCUAGAGCUAAUACAUGCAAAAAACCGCGACUUCGGAAGCGGUGUAUUUAUUAGAUUAAAGACCAAUGCCCUUCGGGGCUGACUGGUGAUUCAUGAUAACUUCUCGAAUCGCACGGCCUUGCGCCGGCGAUGGUUCAUUCAAAUUUCUGCCCUAUCAACUUUCGACUUUAGCGUAGUGGGCUAAAGUGGUUACAACGGGUAACGGAGGGUUAGGGCUCGACCCCGGAGAAGGAGCCUGAGAGACGGCUACUACAUCCAAGGAAGGCAGCAGGCGCGCAAAUUACCCAAUCCCGACACGGGGAGGUAGUGACAAUAAAUACUGAUACAGGGCUCUUUUGGGUCUUGUAAUUGGAAUGAGUACAAUUUAAAUCCCUUAACGAGGAACAAUUGGAGGGCAAGUCUGGUGCCAGCAGCCGCGGUAAUUCCAGCUCCAAUAGCGUAUAUUAAAGUUGUUGUGGUUAAAAAGCUCGUAGUUGAACCUGGGCCUCGCGCAGACCGGUCCGCCUCACCGCGUGCACUGGUCCUGCCGGGGCUUUCACUAGGGGAUUCGCAUGCCCUUCACUGGGCGUGCGCGGAACCUGGACCUUUACUGUGAAAAAAUUAGAGUGUUCAAAGCAGGCCUAUGCUCGAAUACAUUAGCAUGGAAUAAUAGAAUAGGACGUGUGGUUCUAUUUUGUUGGUUAUGGGACCGCCGUAAUGAUUAAUAGGGACAGUCGGGGGCAUCAGUAUUCAAUUGUCAGAGGUGAAAUUCUUGGAUUUAUUGAAGACUAACUACUGCGAAAGCAUUUGCCAAGGAUGUUUUCAUUAAUCAGGAACGAAAGUUAGGGGAUCGAAGACGAUCAGAUACCGUCGUAGUCUUAACCAUAAACUAUGCCGACUAGGGAUCGGGCGAUGUUACUUUUUGACUCGCUCGGCACCUUACGAGAAAUCAAAGUUUGUGGGUUCCUGGGGGAAUAUGGUGGCAACGCUGAAACUUAAAGAAAUUGACGGAAGGG